RNAcentral lists this ribosomal RNA (269 nucleotides) under uncultured bacterium. Its description in RNAcentral is "partial 16S ribosomal RNA". It matches the Rfam family "Bacterial small subunit ribosomal RNA", at positions 521 to 777 of the family's 1533-position model. The record is from RNAcentral.
GACGGAGAGGGUGUCAAACGUUUGCUCGGAAUUAGCUGGGCGUAAAGCGCGUGUAGGUGGACUGGAUCGUGUCAGAAGUGUGAAAUCCCUGGGCUCAACCCAGGAACUGCACCUGAAACUACCAGCCUUGAGUGGUGGAGAGGGAAAGUGGAAUUCCUGGUGUAGAGGUGAAAUUCGUAGAUAUCAGGAGGAACACCAGUGGCGAAGGCGGCUUCCUGGGACACCAAACUGACGGCUGAGAACGGCGAAAGCGUGGGGAGCAAACACGG